Molecule: ribosomal RNA, 505 nt
Filed under: uncultured bacterium
Lineage: Bacteria
Description: partial 16S ribosomal RNA
Rfam family: Bacterial small subunit ribosomal RNA
Source: RNAcentral
GACGAACGCUGGCGGCGUGCCUAAUACAUGCAAGUAGAACGCACAGUUUAUACCGUAGCUUGCUACACCAUAAACUGUGAGUUGCGAACGGGUGAGUAACGCGUAGGUAACCUGCCUGGUAGCGGGGGAUAACUAUUGGAAACGAUAGCUAAUACCGCAUAAUAUUGAUUAUUGCAUGAUAAUUGAUUGAAAGAUGCUAUUGCAUCACUACCAGAUGGACCUGCGUUGUAUUAGCUAGUAGGUGAGGUAACGGCUCACCUAGGCGACGAUACAUAGCCGACCUGAGAGGGUGAUCGGCCACACUGGGACUGAGACACGGCCCAGACUCCUACGGGAGGCAGCAGUAGGGAAGCUUCGGCAAUGGACGAAAGUCUGACCGAGCAACGCCGCGUGAGUGAAGAAGGUUUUCGGAUCGUAAAGCUCUGUUGUAAGAGAAGAACGGGUGUGAGAGUGGAAAGUUCACACUGUGACGGUAGCUUACCAGAAAGGGACGGCUAACUACGUG